GUGUUGACUUGGCAGUACAUAUUGGAAUAAAAAUUGGAACAACUUGGUGAAGAUUAGCAUGACCCUGCAUAAGGACAAUAUGCAAAUUCAUCAAGUGUUCUCUGUUUUU
Molecule: small nuclear RNA, 109 nt
Organism: Aotus nancymaae (Ma's night monkey)
Lineage: Eukaryota; Metazoa; Chordata; Mammalia; Primates; Aotidae
Source: Ensembl